CACAGUACUGACAAACUGUCUGGCUUGAUCCCCACGCCUGAACAGUUUCUUUUUAAACGCUGUGAGACGAAUGAUAGCGUCGGCUAAGCUAUGUUAUGCGAAUGUAAAUCAAACACUAUUCAGUGUAACACGCAGCCUCGUUACACU
This 147-nucleotide small nucleolar RNA is filed under the name Drosophila persimilis. RNAcentral describes it as "snoRNA:GL27882". The record is from RNAcentral. Lineage: Eukaryota; Metazoa; Arthropoda; Insecta; Diptera; Drosophilidae.